GAUGAACGCUGGCGGCGUGCCUAAUACAUGCAAGUCGAGCGAACAGACGAGGAGCUUGCUCCUCUGACGUUAGCGGCGGACGGGUGAGUAACACGUGGAUAACCUACCUAUAAGACUGGGAUAACUUCGGGAAACCGGAGCUAAUACCGGAUAAUAUAUUGAACCGCAUGGUUCAAUAGUGAAAGACGGUUUUGCUGUCACUUAUAGAUGGAUCCGCGCCGCUUUAGCUAGUUGGUAAGGUAACGGCUUACCAAGGCAACGAUGCGUAGCCUACCUGAGAGAGUGAUCGGCCGCACUGGAACUGAGACACGGUCCAGACUCCUACGGGAGGCAGCAGUAGGGAAUCUGCCGCAAUGGGCGAAAGCCUGACGGAACAACGCCGCGUGAGUGAAAAAGGUCUUCGGAUCGUAAAACUCUGUUAUGAGGGAAGAACAAAUGUGUAAGUAACUAUGCACGUCUUGACGGUACCUAAUGAGAAAGCCACGGCUAACUACGUG
This 497-nucleotide ribosomal RNA is filed under the name uncultured bacterium. RNAcentral's name for it is "partial 16S ribosomal RNA". It matches the Rfam family "Bacterial small subunit ribosomal RNA", at positions 28 to 507 of the family's 1533-position model. The record is from RNAcentral.